This 141-nucleotide small nuclear RNA is filed under the name Aotus nancymaae (Ma's night monkey). Its description in RNAcentral is "U4 spliceosomal RNA (ENSANAG00000011605.1)". It matches the Rfam family "U4 spliceosomal RNA". From Rfam's summary of the family: U4 small nuclear RNA (U4 snRNA) is a component of the major U2-dependent spliceosome. The structure of U4 snRNA from yeast and human has been reported. Lineage: Eukaryota; Metazoa; Chordata; Mammalia; Primates; Aotidae. The record is from Rfam by way of RNAcentral.
AGCUUUGCGCAGUGGCAGUAUUGUAGCCAAUGAGGUUUAUCCGAGGUGCGAUUAUUGCUAAUUGAAACCUUUUCCCAAUACCCUGCCAUGACGACUUGAAAUAUAGUUGGCAUUAGAAAUUUUUGACAGUCUCUACAGAGC